ACGGAAGGCAGCAGUGGGGAAUAUUGCACAAUGGGCGGAAGCCUGAUGCAGCGACGCCGCGUGGGGGAUGACGGUCUUCGGAUUGUAAACCCCUUUCAGUAGGGACGAAGCGCAAGUGACGGUGCCUGCAGAAGAAGCACCGUCCAACUACGUGCCAGCAGCCGCGGUAAUACGUAGGGUGCGAGCGUUGUCCGGAAUUACUGGGCGUAAAGAGCUCGUAGGCGGUUUGUCACGUCGUCUGUGAAAUCCUCCAGCUUAACUGGGGGCGUGCAGGCGAUACGGGCAGACUUGAGUACUACAGGGGAGACUGGAAUUCCUGGUGUAGCGGUGAAAUGCGCAGAUAUCAGGAGGAACACCGGUGGCGAAGGCGGGUCUCUGGGUAGUAACUGACGCUGAGGAGCGAAAGCAUGGGUAGCGAACAGGAUUAGAUACCCUGGUA
Molecule: ribosomal RNA, 439 nt
Filed under: uncultured Dietzia sp.
Lineage: Bacteria; Bacillati; Actinomycetota; Actinomycetes; Mycobacteriales; Dietziaceae
Description: bacterial SSU rRNA
Rfam family: Bacterial small subunit ribosomal RNA
Source: RNAcentral